UGGGGAAUAUUGCACAAUGGGCGCAAGCCUGAUGCAGCCAUGCCGCGUGUGUGAAGAAGGCCUUCGGGUUGUAAAGCACUUUCAGCGAGGAGGAAGGGUAGUGUGUUAAUAGCACAUUGCAUUGACGUUACUCGCAGAAGAAGCACCGGCUAACUCCGUGCCAGCAGCCGCGGUAAUACGGAGGGUGCAAGCGUUAAUCGGAAUUACUGGGCGUAAAGCGCACGCAGGCGGUUUGUUAAGUCAGAUGUGAAAUCCCCGCGCUUAACGUGGGGACUGCAUUUGAAACUGGCAAGCUAGAGUCUUGUAGAGGGGGGUAGAAUUCCAGGUGUAGCGGUGAAAUGCGUAGAGAUCUGGAGGAAUACCGGUGGCGAAGGCGGCCCCCUGGACAAAGACUGACGCUCAGGUGCGAAAGCGUGGGGAGCAAACA
Molecule: ribosomal RNA, 427 nt
Filed under: uncultured bacterium
Lineage: Bacteria
Description: partial 16S ribosomal RNA
Rfam family: Bacterial small subunit ribosomal RNA
Source: RNAcentral